AUUUUUUUUUUUUUUUUUGUAAAAAUUUAUCCCCAUUAAUCUCAAAUCCUGGCUUCACCCUGCAUAUAAUACAUUCUCCACCACACCAUAACGGCCAUGAUAACGUGGGGAAAAGUUCUUUAAAUAAAGGAGAACAAACGAUCCAUACAUGAGAAAAAUUCCAGACUCCUAAACACAGGCCAUCUCUACCUGGUAAUAUUUUGUACAGUCACGAUCACAAAUCCACUACCUCCUCCCUUUUUACACCCUUAAAACUUGUACAGUAAAUUUUAUCUCCUCUUGCGAGGGCAUCAGUAUGUUCACCAUCUGAGCCUCGGCUAGCCUGAUCUAGGUAUAUCUUCAAACAAUGUACAGUUUUAAGUACAACUGACAAUUUUAUUUUCGUUAAGCUCCCAUCUAUCCAAAUAAAUAGACAGAGCCAUUACUAGAUAUGAAAAGAAAGAAGAAAGCGAGAGGCGCUCAUACUAUCCUCAGUUAGCUGUACAACUUCUCCUAUGCCAUCUAAGCAGCAGGAUUCAGGGUAAGGACACUAAUCCUCCUCUCUCCAGCUGCAACAAGUUUCUCUACACGCGCAACUAUAUGCUUCCCGUAAGUAUACUUCUUCAGAGCAUUUAAGUGAACCUUUAUUCGAUUAAGGAUUAGUUCAAGUUGCUGGUCAUCACAAGUUUCCAGCACUUUCUGUACAACGUAAUUAGCGAACUGAUCUUUCAUCAUGACCUGCAUGCAAUAAGAAACAGAACUAAACUAAGACCCAAUUCUCAAAGACAACAUUGAAAUCAGAUAAGCACUAAAUCAAAAAAGAAUAGCAAAUUAUGCAAGCUCAACAAAAGAGUUCACCAAAAUGAGAGCCCACUUCAAAAGGACUUUUAUAUGAAAACCUAGCCAUUUGCUGAUUAAAGAAUAAUAAAAGUAUAAAGGAAAAGUAAAAGUUAAGCAACAUAAUCCUUAACAGGGCCUUAAGCCAAGGAACCAAUGGGUGUCUAAGCAUGUCACCGCACUAAAAGUGGUAAAGAAGUCACCAUUAAAACAAUGAUUUAUAGUACAGAUUCAAUCCUUAAGGAUGAAUUCCAAAAGACAUCUCAACAAAACAAGUUUAACAUCAAUGAAUCAUUAGACUAACAAUUUUGUAAAUCCAAGGACUGAAUUCCAACAUGAUUGAUUACAUAUUCUAACAACUAAAGGGGUGUAGAUCUGUGUUAAAGCCAGACAUGUUGCUAAAAGAUUGUCCAAUAACCUGUUUCCACUGCUCAAAUCUUUGACAUCCAACAUAGUAAUGUAAAUGGAGAACAACGCAUUAACUUCUGGACAAUUGCCAGGUACCCUGGGGACAUUUGGCAAGCUAAGAUUACAGAUGAGACUAAAGGAAGAAGACAGAUCAACCGCAUCAGACAGGGCAUGAUAAAAUCCCAAAUGUGAAAAUAUUCUGACAGGUCACAUAAUUGACAAUGCAUUUUGAAGAAAAAUACAAGAAAUUACACUGUUUCCAAUUGUAAUGCCUUCCACCUCCUAACUUGGAGUAAUAAUAGUCUAACUGGGCAAAAACCAAUUGCAUAACAAACUAAUAUACCAAUCUGACACAAAAGAGCUGAGAGCUGUCAAUCUAGAAAACCUAUUUUUGUUGGUAUUUUUAGAUGUGUGGGUGUGUGGGGUGGGGGAAGAUUAGAGAAUGGAUACAGAUAUUCUGAAGAACUCCCAGAUCAGCAAAUGUAUCAUUCAGUUUCCACCAUGAUGUGAAAAUAAAUUAAAGAUAAGAACAUAUAUAAGCAAGAAGCUUCAAUAAUUAUCUGCUUAUUAGUCAUUCAUAAACCUGAAGAGGCUCAUUUUCAUCAGUGGUACCAAGCAUCUCAUUCACCAGGGCCUGGCAUUCUGCAGGAGUACCAAACGUUAAACACUUCUCUAUAACAUUGGAGGCAAACUUCUGCUGGCUCAUUUGAACUAUCUGCCCAGUUAAUUUCUUUAUUAUUGCUGAACGUUCGUGAGGUUUCCCAUGCUCUAGCACAUGCUGUACAACAUAAUUUCCAUACUGGUCUUGUGCCAACAUGCAAACAGAUUGCAAAAUCUCAUGCAUCAUUAUAUGCUGGGUUUUUGUAUUAUGGCAGUGCUCCAGGACUCUCUGUAUGACUCGACAACCAUAUGGAUGAGUGGACAGUGUCACGACUUGAUCAUAAAAUGUUGAAACAAUAAACUGUAUAGCAUCUUCAGGUACACAUUCAAUACACUUCUGGAUGACAUGGUUCCCAUUCUGAUCUCGUACACACCGCAUAAUAUGACCGUCAAGCUCUGUCACCAUUUUUGUCUGCUGGUCCAGCUCAACCACUUCUAUAGCCUUUUGGAUCACUCGACAACCAUACAUUUGAAGGCUAAGUGUCAGGACAUGCCCAGUUAGUUGGUCAGCCAGUUCUCUUAUUUGGGAUGCAGAUCCAUGCUCAAAAAACUGAAGAUAAAAUUUUUUUUCCAUGCAUAAGUCGAGUCUUUUUUUUUGUGUAACCAUGUGUGAUUGUAGAUAGCAGCACAUGAUUUAACAUACAAAAACAUGCUACUACUGUAUGCCCAACAAAAUAGUCACAGGAAAAUUAAGUUUUGAAAUGAGAAAUACCUUUUGAAUCACAUAAUUACCGAAAACAUCUGUCAUUAAUGAAAGAGCUUGCGGCAUAAUUUCAUUGAAAACCAUGUUUUUCUCUUCUGUUGUAGCAGUUUCAAGUUUCUGUUGAAUGAAUCGACUUCCGUACUGAUCGGCACUGAACUCAACAACAUGACCUGUAAUUUCCGAGAGCUCAAAACAUUUAGUUUUACUGCUUUUGAACUCAUCUAGCAAUGAGGAAGGAAAACUUUCAUCCAGGUUACCACCAGAUUCUGAGUGCCAAGAUCCCAUAACACCCCCUGACAGAUUCCUCAUUCCAGUAGUAAAACGCAUGUUUCGUUCACUGUGCCUAACAGGACUGCCAGAUCCAAUAGGAGAAUUUGGAAGAAGGGGACCCCCUAUUGGGCUCCCAGAAUAGGACAUGCCAAGACCAAAUGCUGGAUUACCAUAGUAAUUCUGAUUCAAGCUGCCAGAUUUACCAAGAUAGGGAACACCGUACGGUGAUUUUUGAGGUGAAAGCAAUGUUCCUAAGUAAGCUUUUUGGAGCAGAUCCAGGUAUGAAUUACCAAGGUACUCCCUGUCUAUACAAGGUUCAUUAAGUGCCCCAAGCUGUGCAGCAGCAUACUCAUUUGAUCUCAGGUACUGAAGAUAUAAUGGAUCCAUUAAGGGCAUCUGCAGAGCAUUACCUGCGCUCCGAUUUCCAACUCUACUAAGAUUCUGUAAUUCUGCUGUUGUAGCCAUAAAGUUUGGCCCUAAAGCGCUCAGCGCUCUAGAAUCCAAUCCAGUUCCUCCCACUGCAGAUGCAGCAGCAACAUUUUCAAAUAAAGGUAGCAAGCUCCCACUGCCAAGGUGGCUUCCCAUCAUGGAUGGUGAUGAAGGAUUCACAGAAUACCCACUCAAGCCAUAGCUUGAAAAUGGAGAAUUCAUGUUAUCGGCGCUCUGGAGGUCAGAAGGAGAGCCUCCUCGGCCAUUGAAAGCUGGUGUUGAAGGGCCUUUUAAGGAGUUAGCAUAUGAAUUAGACUUAUUCAAAAAAGACUGUUGCUUUACAUGGUUCUGGUCGCCAUGCAAAUUGUAGAGAUCAUGGUGAUCAUCAAUGUUAUGUUCGCUUUGUGACCGUGAGUGAUUCUCUACAUCAACAGGUGAUAGAUUCAACCCAGACAAAGCAGCCACGAACUCAGCAGACUCAUCCAAGCUUGAUGAGACACCUUUAAAUGAGUUUGGCCCACUCACUUCUCUUUUAUCCAUAGAAUUGACCCUACCCCCUCCAAUGGGUGGAAUGCGAGGACUAGGAGCUCUAGCUACAAGUUGAGGAUCAGGUGUAGAGCUUCGUGACAAGGAAGCACCUAAAGCAGAAGCAUAGCUAUGAUGAGCUGUUGCACCAACAUUUGGGACCACAGGAAUCCCCUGUUUAUUUGAAACAGAUCGCAAAGCUUCAGCAGAUGCUAAAUCAUGAAGCUGAGCAAAUUGGGAUUCAGAAGUUUCUACAUUAUCAUCAUAUGCAUUGCGACUAGCUGGACGUGAGGGAUGCCUUGAGAUGGGAUAUGCAUGAUCCAUAUCAUCCUGAAUGAUUUCUGCAAUGCUCUUUUGCCUGCUUCCUAGGCCCAAACCCGGCAACCCAAUCAGUCCAUCUCCUCCCCACUCCACUCCUCCACCAGUCCCAUUCCCAUUCUCCUCCGUCUUUUCUCCAAAACCUGGCUGCACUGCGAAAAGAGACCUGUUCCCUUCAUUAUCGCCACCUCUACUUCCCUUCCUUCCAUCCCCAACCACAGAAUUAACCCCACCGCCAUGUAAUCUCUGAGUAUACCUCCAAUCCUCCUUUGAUAACAAAGGAGGCGGCAGUCUUGGAUUCAAGUUCACGUUAGAGUAGUAAUAAUUAACAUACGCUGGAUCAGACCUUAUCUCCUCCUCGCUCAAGAACCCGCCUUUGUUGCUCUUCUUGAUACCAGGUAACGCAGUAGCAUCAAACAAGCCCCCAAUCGAGCUUAAAGACCCUUCUACAGUAGGCGGGGCAGACCCGCUCCGAUAAAUAUUGAGCUCCUUCUCUCUGUCACUCGCUGCCUCUUGUUGUAGCCUUUGCUCUCUAAUCAGUUUGCCCAAAUCUUCAUUUUUGAGCAUUGAUCGCAUCGAUAUAUCAGGCAAAAUCUUUGAAUACGUGUCUGUGAUCAUUAGAUAUGUGCGUAAAGAUUGAAACUUCUAACUAAAUUUAAGCUAAAUAUGGCUAAAAUUGAACUGGGGCUUGUUUUUUAGGUUCAAAUAAGUUGUUUUUGCCGAUCAAAACCAACAACCCCUCGAACCCAAAAAAAAAAAAAUUAAAGAAAAAUGAAAAGUCCUUGAUUGUGUGUUAAGGUGUUGAUAUUGUGCUAAAGAGUGUACAUUUGGUAAUAAAUACAGAGAUCAGAUUGACAGUGAAGAGCGUUGCAGAUGAUCAAAUAAGGGUGGCUUUAGCCAUGCUGUUAGAGAGAGACGGAGACAAGAACAAAGACACAGAAAGGGAGGGGAGAGUGAACUGAUGAAAGAGAUGAAUGAUAAGCACGAGAGAUGGCCUGAUCUUGAC
Molecule: unclassified non-coding RNA, 5135 nt
Filed under: Hevea brasiliensis (rubber tree)
Lineage: Eukaryota; Viridiplantae; Streptophyta; Magnoliopsida; Malpighiales; Euphorbiaceae
Source: RNAcentral